Small nucleolar RNA from Mesocricetus auratus (golden hamster), 131 nucleotides. The record is from Ensembl. NCBI's taxonomy places the organism in Eukaryota, Metazoa, Chordata, Mammalia, Rodentia, Cricetidae.
GACUACAGGUGCCUUGGGACCUGUCAACUGUGGCACUCCCCCUUCCUGGUCAUAGUAAAACAUGUUCCUGUGCAUGGCAAACAUGUCACCACUUCAUUGGUAUCUGAUUCUUACUGGCAUUGAUAACAUUC